RNAcentral lists this ribosomal RNA (1217 nucleotides) under Salmonella enterica subsp. enterica serovar Stanley. Its description in RNAcentral is "partial 23S ribosomal RNA". It matches the Rfam family "Bacterial large subunit ribosomal RNA", at positions 1534 to 2730 of the family's 2925-position model. Lineage: Bacteria; Pseudomonadati; Pseudomonadota; Gammaproteobacteria; Enterobacterales; Enterobacteriaceae. The record is from RNAcentral.
AGGUAAAUCCGGUUCACUUUAACACUGAGGCGUGACGACGAGGCACUACGGUGCUGAAGCAACAAAUGCCCUGCUUCCAGGAAAAGCCUCUAAGCAUCAGGUAACAUCAAAUCGUACCCCAAACCGACACAGGUGGUCAGGUAGAGAAUACCAAGGCGCUUGAGAGAACUCGGGUGAAGGAACUAGGCAAAAUGGUGCCGUAACUUCGGGAGAAGGCACGCUGACACGUAGGUGAAGUGAUUUACUCAUGGAGCUGAAGUCAGUCGAAGAUACCAGCUGGCUGCAACUGUUUAUUAAAAACACAGCACUGUGCAAACACGAAAGUGGACGUAUACGGUGUGACGCCUGCCCGGUGCCGGAAGGUUAAUUGAUGGGGUCAGCGCAAGCGAAGCUCCUGAUCGAAGCCCCGGUAAACGGCGGCCGUAACUAUAACGGUCCUAAGGUAGCGAAAUUCCUUGUCGGGUAAGUUCCGACCUGCACGAAUGGCGUAAUGAUGGCCAGGCUGUCUCCACCCGAGACUCAGUGAAAUUGAACUCGCUGUGAAGAUGCAGUGUACCCGCGGCAAGACGGAAAGACCCCGUGAACCUUUACUAUAGCUUGACACUGAACAUUGAGCCUUGAUGUGUAGGAUAGGUGGGAGGCUUUGAAGCGUGGACGCCAGUCUGCGUGGAGCCGACCUUGAAAUACCACCCUUUAAUGUUUGAUGUUCUAACGUGGACCCGUAAUCCGGGUUGCGGACAGUGUCUGGUGGGUAGUUUGACUGGGGCGGUCUCCUCCUAAAGAGUAACGGAGGAGCACGAAGGUUGGCUAAUCCUGGUCGGACAUCAGGAGGUUAGUGCAAUGGCAUAAGCCAGCUUGACUGCGAGCGUGACGGCGCGAGCAGGUGCGAAAGCAGGUCAUAGUGAUCCGGUGGUUCUGAAUGGAAGGGCCAUCGCUCAACGGAUAAAAGGUACUCCGGGGAUAACAGGCUGAUACCGCCCAAGAGUUCAUAUCGACGGCGGUGUUUGGCACCUCGAUGUCGGCUCAUCACAUCCUGGGGCUGAAGUAGGUCCCAAGGGUAUGGCUGUUCGCCAUUUAAAGUGGUACGCGAGCUGGGUUUAGAACGUCGUGAGACAGUUCGGUCCCUAUCUGCCGUGGGCGCUGGAGAACUGAGGGGGGCUGCUCCUAGUACGAGAGGACCGGAGUGGACGCAUCACUGGUGUUCGGGUUGUCAUGCC